CGGGGUGCCAGCAUGGUUGGGUUCUGGUAGUAAUGUGAGGCCAUGUGAGGCCAUUAUCUCUUCCUGGCCUUCUUUGGUGCAUGCACACAGAAAGGCCUCUGUCUCCUCCUCAUUUGGUAUGGGCAUUAAUCCCAUCACGAGGCUCUGCCCUUGAAUGCAACCUAAUUACUUCCCAAAGUCCCCAUCUCCAAAUAGCAUCACAUUGGAGAUUAGAAUUUCAGCAUCUGAAUUUUGAGGAGACACAAACAUUCUGCCCAUAGCAUCCUAAUUCUGGAGAUGUUGUCUGGAGGCAGUGGGGUUGGGAGAAGGGCCGGUCCUGGAAAGUGAGUCUGCAGCCCAGACCCACCAACCCACAACUGCCACAGUCAGGGGUAGGGUUUUUGUUCUGAUGACAUUGACAGUAUUCAGAAAUGCCCAAAGUAUCAGUCAGGCCCUGGCAUGAGAAUUGAUAAAGAAUUCCAUAAAGGAUUAGGCAAAAGCUGGAGGUGAGAGAAAAUGCCAAAAUCACAUUUCUCAGCCUUCCUGGAAGUGAAGGAACUGGAGUCUCAUUGGGGGGGAAGUAUGAGGCUGAAGGGUGUUGUGUCCACAGGUUCAUUCCAUUCAUGAAAAAGAGAUCCCUUGCUGGGGCAUCUUAAUGUCAGAAGCUUCAUUUGACAAGCAAAGAAAACACAUACAGGACGUCUCUGUAACCUGUAAAUGUGCGUAUAAAACACAGGGCAAUGGCUGUUUGAAGAGGGAGCAGAAAGCCCAUUGUGGCUCUUUGGAUAACUGAAGAAACAAGUGUGCAAAAGUUUCUUUCACCGAAACCAGGACCAUCCCCGCAAAUGUGAGGCUCACAUAUGGGCUGUGGCAAGUAUGUGAAUUUAUUUAUGAAUGACUGCAGGCAUAAGUAUAUAAAAAAGGCAAUUGACACAAUCUUUCUUCAACCCAUGUGCCAAGUCAGUGUUCUGCUUGUUUGAAAGGUUAGUCUCAGUGAGAACUUUAAAAAGGUUAUUUGGAGAAACAAAGAAAAAUGGGGUGGUGGGAGGGGCUGCCAACAUCCAUCGGAGAUUAAGCAAUUUCUCUCCUUUUCUGGCAUUGGCCUCAGAAAAGCCAGCGUUGGUCAUCAGACUACUUCGUGCAGAAUCUGAAGCUAUGUUGAGCUGUUAGUGACUGCUAAUCGGAUCCUAGGAUGUGUUUUUUCUUUUCUAUGCCAGCCCAACCAUUAAACUGUGGAGAAGGAAGGUGGAGAGUGCCUGUAUAUGGAAAGAAGAAAAGCUAACUUCAUGGCUUUCUUGUAUUAACUGAGGCUUCCAGUUUAUAAAUGGAGAAAGAAUGAUGGAACCAGAUCAUUAUCAUUUUGCAACAGCUGAUAAAAUAGUGGGCACAGACAACAACAGUUAAUGGCUACUGACAUCACAAAGAGACUAUCAGACAUUAUAGGCUUCCUUUUGGAAUAUACAACACCAGCACGAAAUAUUUCUGCCAAAUAAUCUAACCUCAUUGUAUUCAAGUCUCUGCUCCUUACAGAAGCUCUCUCUUUAUCUAAACUGGGAGGCAGCUGGGAAUUUGGAUUGAAGAGGAGGGCUGGGAGGGCGAGAGAGGGGUGAGAGAGGAAACAAGAUUAACUUCAGAAUUUGAAGGACAAUU
This 1629-nucleotide long non-coding RNA is filed under the name Homo sapiens (human). Its description in RNAcentral is "HSALNT0373127". The record is from RNAcentral. Lineage: Eukaryota; Metazoa; Chordata; Mammalia; Primates; Hominidae.